Monodelphis domestica (gray short-tailed opossum) is the source of this 2573-nucleotide non-coding RNA. The record is from RefSeq and is a predicted model, not a curated record. Lineage: Eukaryota; Metazoa; Chordata; Mammalia; Didelphimorphia; Didelphidae.
GCUGUGGUGGAAGAGUAGAGGGUGGAAUGUCAGUUAAGGAAGGCCCAGUUGGGAAUCAGAAGCUUGAUGUCAGUGUUCAGAUGAGACUAUUCUCAUCAUUGUUCUCCAAGAUAUGACCCGUCACUUCAUACCAGGCCUAUUACAACCAUUUCCUAAAAAGUCCCUCAGCUUUCAGUCUUUCUCUUUUCUAGGAAUAUAUCUCACACAAGCAGUCAGAUUAAUCCUCCCCAAAAGACCAGCUUCCAUCAUUUGAUUCUGUAGCUCAAGAACCUUCUUCAAUGACUUUUCAUUGUCUUCAGAAUAAAGUAAAAAGUCCUCAGCCUGGAAUUUAAAACCCCUCCACGAUCUGGGCCCAACUUACUUUUUUCAGCUUUAUUUUCUACUCAUUCCCCAAACUAACUUUCCACUUCAGACAUAGCAUUCAACUGAACUGUGCCCUAAACAAGGUAGAGAUAUUUCUUUUUUUUUUUUUUAAUCUUGACAGAAAGGGAAGGGCUAGGUAAAUGGGGUUAAGUGUCUUGCCCAGGGUCAAACAGCUAGGAAGUAUUUGAGACCAGUUCAAAACCCAGGACCUCCUAUCUCCAACCUUGGUUUUCUAUCCACUGAGCUACCUAGAUACCCUUAGUAGGGGUAUUCUUGACAGCACAUCAACAAACUUUGUUCCCCCUUCCUGGAUUGCCACCUUAUACUCCUCACUUGUUUAAGUCAUAUCUACCUUUCUUAAUCCAACUCUCCUACCCUGAUCAAGGCAGUCAACAAAGAAGUCUUUAUAGCAUUUAACCACUUAGACAUUCAUCAUAACUACAACCUCAUGUUGUUCUCUUGUUUUGACACCCAUCAUUUAAAAUUAUAAGCACCCCCAGGACAAGGGUAAAGCAUUAAGAAUGUUAUUCUCUCCCUUGAAACUCCACUCCCUUCAGGGGUGACCUCCAGGAAACAUUUAUUGAACCAUUCAGGUUCUGAAGAGAAUAAUUUACACAAUAACAAGAUGGUAAAGACAAACAAUUUUGAAAGCCUUAAAAACUCUGCAAUGACCCAUGAUGAAGCCUGUUAUCUGACUCCUGACAGAGAGAUGAUGGGUUCAAGGUGCAGAAUGACAAUAUGGCCAACAUGAGAAUUUGUUCUGCUUGACUAUGCAUAGUUACAAGGACUUAGUUUUUCUUUGUUAUCCCACCGCAAUGAAGGGAGGUGGGAGAGAAAAUAGAUUUUUGUUAAUUGAAAAAAAUUUUUUAAUUGACAAUUAAUGCUAGGGUUCUGGAAAGGUCCGACGCACCUGGGUCUUUCUCAUCCUUAUGUUGACAGAAUUACAGUUUUCAUCUGCUUCCUCCUUCUGGGGAUCAAUGGCUGUUAAAGGACAAAGGAGGGACAGGGCAAUGGGCUUAGGGGACCUGCCUCUAGCCUCAGGUUUCUUCCCAGAACCCUGGCAGCACGCCAAUCAGCACUCACUCUUCAGCUGGGUCCGGAUCUCCUUCCCCAACUGCUUUAUCUCUUCUCUCAGGUUCUGGAGGUCUUGCUUCAUGCCUAAAUUGGAGGCAAGGGUGGGAAUCGGAGAAAAGCAUGAUUCCAAGAUAGCUCCAAUAACAGGGAUCCUGGAGGUUUCGCGAAUUCCCUCCCACCUGGAAAGACGACCCACUCUGUGCAGCCCCUCCCCCCACCAGCGAGGAAUCCACGCAUGCGCAUAGAGGAAGUUCUCUCCUCGCCCUCUGGAAAGACGGAAACGGGAAGCUGCAGCUGCAACCUGAACGGAAGUGAGACUGCCAGGACUCUAGGAUGCUUCGUCCUUACCGGAAGCUGGGCGGAAGGAGCUCAUCACCGGACGUGAAGUUACCAGAUGAGGGGGAGGAAGGGGAGAAACACACGUCAUCCAAGCGUCAGCCGCCCGUCUUCGACCUGCUCACAUCACCCCAUGGUCUCCACCCUCGCCACCUUAAGUGACCUACUCUGAUUCUCCCCCUCCCCCCAACACCUUAUUUUUCUAAAACCCCAGGUCACAAGAUUUGCACGAACCGCCUUGACCUCCCUCGUAAAUCAUUCUUGUUAGCCAGGUCCUAGGAAUCUUAGCUAGAUUUAAGAUGACAUGAUCUUUCUGGAAAAUAGUUAAACUCCGCCCCCCCCUUCCACUAAUAGAUUAGCCCGAAGUUCCCGGAGGCCAGCACUCUAAAUUUGGAAAUCAGCAACAUGUGACCUUCGUUUCCCACCCCUUUACUCUCCCUCCUCCCUUCCUCCCCGCCCCCUAGCUUUUCCCGGAGUUUGCCUUUUUCUCUCGGAGGACCGGGUUAAGGUGUCAUUCCCUUUAGUACGUACCCGACCCAGGGUCCUAAAUAUCUUAAAAUCAAAUCUCCACAAUUUAGGGCAACCUCAAGGACGAGCUAUCAUGACCUUGCUAAAUCACCCCCGUGGCGAAAAUAUUUUGGAAACCAUUUUUUUUGCUGUACAGAAACUAGCAGAGGCUAUUCUACUUUAGAAUGCCUGAUCCAGAGGCAUAAAUAGCAAAGAUACUCUGCAUCUAUUUUUUGUUGAUUAAAAAGUGUUAUUCGACUUGUAUAUAAUAAAACGAAACCUUGAAAACUUUC